CGUCCGAUGUCCUCUUGCAUCGAGAUGACUGUUAUUGUCCUGGCAGGACUUUCUGGGCUGUGGGAAGCAGAGGUUCAGGUUGGGCAAGAUGUCUGGCCAGGGUAGAUCCAAAGAUCUUUCCCGAAAGGUUUGUGCACUUACCGAUGGGAUGUCAGAUAGCCAGAGCCACCUCAGGCCAUCUGUGCAUUUGCCGUGUCUGGGUGUCUUUCUGGGUAUGAGGACAGUAGAUGUGUGCAGGCAUCCUGUGUUGGAAAGUGUUCAUCUGUUUUCUGUCCCCUCCCCCCACUCCUCAUUGGUAGGAUCAGAGUCAAAGCUGGUCCGUAUUGGAAAAGAACUCUGGAGUGGUACACGCAUCACGCAUACUGUCGCUUCUUGUCCCUUGGCCUUUGCUAAUCAAUUCUGAUGCAUUCAGUCUUCCCACGGAGCUCAGAGCGAGGCACUACUAAUCAGUAUAGGUAAAGCGUCCCGCCUCUUACUAUGUGGACUAAAAACCCAUUACUCAGAGUAGGCAAAUGACCCAUGGGGCGGCACAGACUUCUCCCCUGCCAGGAGGCCGGUUGCUAAGAUGGGCCCUGGAGUUUUGGUGUUGGGCUGGUGAGAUAGCGUCAGUUGGCAGUGUGAUUGGUGUGCAAGGAUGAGGACCUGGGUUGGAGCCCCAGCACCCACAUGCAAAAGCCUGAGCCUGGCAUCUGUAAUCCCAGCACCAGGAAGAAACAGGGAGAUCCUUGAGGCUCUCUUGGCCAGCUGGUCUACCAGAUUGCUUCAAUGAGAGACCUUCCCUCAAAAAAAAAAAAAAAAAA
Molecule: long non-coding RNA, 800 nt
Filed under: Rattus norvegicus (Norway rat)
Lineage: Eukaryota; Metazoa; Chordata; Mammalia; Rodentia; Muridae
Description: long non-coding RNA NONRATT014326
Source: RNAcentral